RNAcentral lists this ribosomal RNA (1230 nucleotides) under Triticum aestivum (bread wheat). RNAcentral's name for it is "partial small subunit ribosomal RNA". The record is from RNAcentral. Lineage: Eukaryota; Viridiplantae; Streptophyta; Magnoliopsida; Poales; Poaceae.
AUGAGUUUCUACAGCCUUCACGAUUCUCUUCAUAAGGAGAUCGCCAAAAUCCAGUCCCGCUUCUAUUGGGCUGGGGAGCACGGCAAGCAGAAGUAUCACAUGGUCAGCUGGCCUGACAUCUGCAAGCCGAGGGAGCAGGGGGGUUUGGGGAUCAUGUGCUCCAAACGGAUGAAUAUUGCCCUCCUCUCCCGAUGGCUGUGGCGCAUCUCGCAGGGCCACGGGGGCCUCUGGCUGGACAUUAUCCGGAAUAAAUACCUGCGCGGCCAACCCCUUGCCUUCUGCCAGAAGUCGGGUGGCUCUCAGUUCUGGCAGUCCCUUGUCCAGCUCCUCCCUAUGCUCCGCAUUGGUACCUCUAUCUCGGUAGGAUCUGGCCGUUCGACGUUAUUCUGGUAUGACCGUUGGGCCGGUGACGCCCCCUUUGCGGCUCGCUUCCCCAUUCUCUUUGCUAUCUCUGUCGACCCCAUGAUCUCUGUUGAUAGGGCCCUAUUUGACUUAGGGCGCCUCACUUUCCGUCGGCCAUUUGGGCCUGCGGAAUCCGCCGUCUGGCGUGAGCUUCUUGAGUGCGUCGCUCUUCAUGAGCCGCUGGUUGACGGCGUCCAAGACCGUGUUCGAUGGCAUUUGGAGCCGUCUGGCCAGUUCUCUACCAAAUCGCUCUAUGCGGCCAUUGCCCCCUCCGCCGCCCCUCCCCCCCUCUCAAUGGUUUGGUCCGUCCGCCUCCCUCUGAAGAUCCGUAUCUUCAUGUGGCAGUGGAUCCGGGGACGGAUCCCCUCCGGUGUGGAGGUCCGCAAGCGUAAUGGCCCGGGUUCUGGUCUCUGCCCCCUCUGUGCCGUCCCCGAGGACUCUAACCACAUCUUCUUCGCUUGCACCUCUGCCCAGUUCCUCUGGAGCUGUUUUCGCGAGCUUGUCGGCGGAAAUUGGACUCACACCAACUUCCCCGACCUUUUUGCUGAACUCCAAGCGUCCCCCCCGUCCUCCCGCCACAUUAGGUGGCUGGAGGUUGGGACCCUAGCCUGGACUCUUUGGACUGUUCGUAAUAAGCUUGUGAUUGAGCGCACUCCGCUUCGUCGUGCUACUGACGCUCUCUACAAAUUCUCGGGUUUCCUGCAGCUUUGGCGGCCGCUUAGCCGUCUCCUGGAGCGCGACGCCAUCUCCGCCUUCAUCGCCGACCUCCGCUCGAUGGCCGUCCGCCUGUCGCCGCCGCCGCCGCCCCCUCCGCCGGAGCCUGACUAG